ACAAAAAUAAAAGCGCCGGGACUUACCAAUGGUAAGUUGACGAGGACAGGGUUUAUCGAGUAAUCGGCGGAUGCCCUGCGGCUGACCACCGAAAGCGGCCAGACAAAACCUAAAAGCGAUUUUAGGGACAAAGGGGCCAGGUCAAAGACA
This 150-nucleotide non-coding RNA is filed under the name Thermobrachium celere. Its description in RNAcentral is "GlcN6P sequence". It matches the Rfam family "glmS glucosamine-6-phosphate activated ribozyme aptamer". Rfam says of the family: This entry contains a glucosamine-6-phosphate activated ribozyme that is found in the mRNA for GlmS. GlmS is an enzyme that uses fructose-6-phosphate and glutamine to generate glucosamine-6-phosphate. Lineage: Bacteria; Bacillati; Bacillota; Clostridia; Eubacteriales; Clostridiaceae. RNAcentral also lists the same sequence under 1 other name. The record is from RNAcentral.